GGGUGUCUGAUCUUGUUGAUCUCAUUUUAUGUACAACUUCAAUCUAGCUCACCCCCAGCUCCAACAUCGCCGCUAGGACUCUCUUAUCCGUUUGAGGAUGCCAAUGAAGGGUAUCUACACUUUCUGCGCAGCUCAUCGUACGCUGACAAUGAAUUAAUUACACUAGGGAAUGUCAUUCUAGUCCAUAACUGAAGUAGACUGUGUUGGGCUGACACUUCCACCUCUAGUCAUUUUUAGAGCAUCCAGAACUUUGUGUAUCUCCAUACUCAUAGCACUAUCCACACUUCCUGAUGAUA
Molecule: unclassified non-coding RNA, 296 nt
Filed under: Hevea brasiliensis (rubber tree)
Lineage: Eukaryota; Viridiplantae; Streptophyta; Magnoliopsida; Malpighiales; Euphorbiaceae
Source: RNAcentral